UAAUACGGAGGGUGCGAGCGUUAAUCGGAAUUACUGGGCGUAAAGCGCAUGCAGGCGGUCUGUUAAGCAAGAUGUGAAAGCCCGGGGCUCAACCUCGGAACAGCAUUUUGAACUGGCAGACUAGAGUCUUGUAGAGGGGGGUAGAAUUUCAGGUGUAGCGGUGAAAUGCGUAGAGAUCUGAAGGAAUACCGGUGGCGAAGGCGGCCCCCUGGACAAAGACUGACGCUCAGAUGCGAAAGCGUGGGGAGCAAACAGGAUUAGAUACCCUGGUAGUCCACGCCGUAAACGAUGUCUACUUGAAGGUUGUGGCCUUGAGCCGUGGCUUUCGGAGCUAACGCGUUAAGUAGACCGCCUGGGGAGUACGGUCGCAUGAUUA
This 376-nucleotide ribosomal RNA is filed under the name uncultured Vibrionales bacterium. RNAcentral's name for it is "bacterial SSU rRNA". It matches the Rfam family "Bacterial small subunit ribosomal RNA", at positions 521 to 896 of the family's 1533-position model. Lineage: Bacteria; Pseudomonadati; Pseudomonadota; Gammaproteobacteria; Vibrionales. The record is from RNAcentral.